Molecule: non-coding RNA, 92 nt
Filed under: zebrafish metagenome
Source: RNAcentral
UCCGGGGAGCUCGCACGAUCGGCGGGCUGAGAGGGCGGCCGCGGCCGCCGACCCAUGAACCUGAACUGGGUAAUGCCAGCGGAGGGAUGGGA